CUCCCUAUAGUUCAACCGGAUAGAACGGGCCCCUCCUAAGGGCCAGAUCGGGGUUCGAGUCCCUGUGGGGAGGCCA
This 76-nucleotide transfer RNA is filed under the name Nitrincola tapanii. RNAcentral's name for it is "Nitrincola sp. MEB193 tRNA-Arg". It matches the Rfam family "tRNA". Rfam says of the family: Transfer RNA (tRNA) molecules are approximately 80 nucleotides in length. Their secondary structure includes four short double-helical elements and three loops (D, anti-codon, and T loops). Further hydrogen bonds mediate the characteristic L-shaped molecular structure. tRNAs have two regions of fundamental functional importance: the anti-codon, which is responsible for specific mRNA codon recognition, and the 3' end, to which the tRNAs corresponding amino acid is attached (by aminoacyl-tRNA synthetases). tRNAs cope with the degeneracy of the genetic code in two manners: having more than one tRNA (with a specific anti-codon) for a particular amino acid; and 'wobble' base-pairing, i.e. permitting non-standard base-pairing at the 3rd anti-codon position. Lineage: Bacteria; Pseudomonadati; Pseudomonadota; Gammaproteobacteria; Oceanospirillales; Oceanospirillaceae. RNAcentral also lists the same sequence under 1 other name. The record is from RNAcentral.